Molecule: non-coding RNA, 204 nt
Organism: Vicia faba (fava bean)
Lineage: Eukaryota; Viridiplantae; Streptophyta; Magnoliopsida; Fabales; Fabaceae
Source: the annotation of a GenBank genome assembly
GUUUAUGAAUCUAAUAGUGAUAGGAUUGAAAUGGCUAGCUCUAUCCGAGGCCCAUGUGUAGUCCUUCCAUACGAUAAAUUUAAACAAGAAAAUGACAGAAGAUCUCAAUUUGGAAUUGUAGCAACUGUUAGUGUACAGCCCAUUUUCCUUUGCAGAUGGUUUUAUGAUGAAAUCAAAACGUCAUUUCAACCCGUUAUCAGUUGA